UUGGCCUCCCAAGGCUCUGGGAUUUCAGACGUGAGCCACCGCACCCAGCCUAAGAUCUCUAUUUCUUUUUGUUUGUUUUUUGUGUCUAGAUCUAUAUUUCUUAUUCUUCCUCCACUUGCUUUUGGCCUAUGGCUGAGAUUGUAAACACGGAGCUUCGUGUCUUCGUGUGAAGGUGGUGUUCUUCCGGAAACGCCUGUGUCCCGGGGUGGGUCUCGUGAAGCAAGCGCUUUACCAAGACGAGAGAUACAAGCUUCCUAACUGGGAGAUUGUGAAAGGGGAGGGAAUGUGGGCAGAAUCCUGAGCACAAGUGGUUAGACUUCAUUGACAAACCGGGGGCGGCAGUACGGAGGUUCUGAGCAUGCAUUUGAAGCGAGACCCACUCCUCUUAACGGAGGAUUUAUCAGGAGGGAUAAGGAGAGCUGCAGCACAUCAGUGUUGGACCCACUGCAUCGCCUGUGGUGCAUUGGUUGACUGUAGGAGCUUCAGAGCAUUCCAGGAGGUCUGGUUCUUUGAUGACUCAUCAAGAUUUGGAGCACAGAUACCCAUGCACUGCAAUAGUGACACUUUCGUCACCUGGGGUUUUGUUUUCAUUUCACUUUAAGAAUGUGCCAUGUGAUCGUGUUUCUAAUCCUUUUCACUCUGGAAUCCUGUCCUCACCAUAUUAAUGUUGAAUAGCAUCUCAGGUUUCAUUUCACAAUGCGCACCUGGAGUUGGAAGGAGUUCAACAGACGGACAGUUUUUGUUUAUCAGCCAGCGGCCUUGUGACCCAGCAAAGGUCUCCAGACUUGUGAACGAGGUCUACCACAUGUAUAAUCGACAUCAGUAUCCAUUUGUUGUUCUUAACAUUUCUGUUGAUUCAGGUAACUUAGUAAAAAUGCAUGCAGCGGAUUUGGAGAAGCCCCUGGUAGAAAAGCAGGAUCAUUCCCCUUCAUUAAGGACUCGAGAAGAAAAAAGGGAUGUGUCCAUUUCCAGACUGCGAGAGGCCUUUUCUCUUCGUCACACAACAGAGAACAAGCCUCACAGCCCGAAGACUCCAGAAGCAAGAAGGAGCCCUCUCGGACAGAAAAGGGGUGUGCCAUCUUCUAGCACUUCAGAUGCGGUCUCGGACAGAGGCUUCCUGAGACCUCAGAAAGAGGCAGCGAGUUCCAGUCAGGGACCCAGGGACCCUACGGACGGAGCGGAGGUGAAGGAUUUGGGGCACGGCAGCACUUCCGUGGAUUCUGAGGGGUUCAGCAUCCCAGACACGGGCGGUCACUGCAGCAGCGAGUGUGCGGCCAGCUCCCCAGAGGACAGGGGCUCGCAGGAACAUGCGGACUCACAUGAGAAAGCGCCUGAAACGGAUGACUCUUUUUCAGAUGUGGACUGCCAUCCAAACCAGGUGAUGAUUGGAACUGCUCUUAAUACAAGCGAGAUGAAGAAACUGAUCACCCACAUGGGUGAGAUGGACCACCCCUGGAACUGUCCCCAUGGAAGGCCAACCAUGAGACACAUUGCCAACCUGGGUGUCAUUUCGCAGAACUGACAGUAGUCGCUGUAUGGAAUCAUCGGUUUUAUUGCAGAUUUUUAUGUUUUGAAAGACAGGGUCUUCACUCACCUUUUUUGUUUUCAAAUGAACCUGCUACUUAAAAAAAAAUACACAUCAGACCCAUUUAAAAGUGAUCUUGAGAACCUUUUCAAACCAGAUGGAGCGCUACUUGCAAAAUUGUUUUUUUCUCUGUUUGCAUGCACUCGUGUGUGUGUGUGUGUGUGUGUGUCCAGUCAGGAACAUAUUUUAUAAAAAUAAGAACACUUGGGCCGGGCGUGGUGGCUCAUGCCUGUGAUCCACCUGCCCCGGCCUCCCAACGUGCUGAGAUUACAGGUAUGAGCCAUAUUUCCUGGCCGAGUUAAGGAUCUUGCAGUAGAGAGAUUAUCCUGGAUUGUCUGGUUGGGCCCAGUCCAUUGGGUGAGUCCUUUGAAGGUGGAGACCUUUCCCUGCUGGCCAGAGAGAGGUGGCCUUGCUGGUAUUGGAGAUGGAAGGAGGUACCACUCGUCAAGGAUUGCAAGCAGCCUCUAGAACAGGGAUUCCAGCACUCCGGCCACAGACCAGUAGUGGUCCAUGGCCCGUUAGGAACCAGGGUGCACAGCAGGUUAGGGGCGGGGAAGCCAGCGAAACUUCAUCUGUAGUUAGAUCCCCUCCCCAUGGCUGGUAUUACCACCUGAGCGCCACCUCCUGUCAUAUCAGCGGUGGGCAUUAGAUUCUCAUAGGAGCACAAACCCUGUUGUGAACUGCACACGCGAGGGAUGUAGGUCGCACACUCCUUAAGAGAAUCUGGUGCCUGAUGAUCUGUCACUGUCUCCUGUCACCCCCAGAUGGGACCGUCUAGUUGUAGGAAAACAAACUCAGGCUUCCACUGAGUGUAUGAUGGUGAGUUGUAGAAUUAUUUAAUUAUAUGUUACAAUGUAAAAAUAAUAGAAAUAAAGUGCACAGUAAAUGCAACACGCUUGAAUCAUCCUGAAACCAUCCCCUACCCCCAUCCGUGGAAAAAUUGUCUUCUGCGAAACCGGUCUCUGGUGCCAAAAGGUUGGGGACCGCUUCUGGAAAAGCUGGAAAAGGCAAGGAAACGGACGCUUCCCCGGAGCCUCUGGAAGGAACCAGCACUGUGGGCCUGCUUUACAGACUGUUGGAUAAUAAAUUUGUGUUGCUUCA
Rhinopithecus roxellana (golden snub-nosed monkey) is the source of this 2686-nucleotide RNA transcript. It is a transcript of the gene named protein PMS2CL-like, with no coding region annotated. The record is from RefSeq and is a predicted model, not a curated record. The transcript is spliced from 5 exons. Lineage: Eukaryota; Metazoa; Chordata; Mammalia; Primates; Cercopithecidae.